GUGGGGAAUAUUCCGCAAUGGACGAAAGUCUGACGGAGCAACGCCGCGUGAGUGAUGAAGGUUUUCGGACUGUAAAGCUCUGUUGUUUAGGACGAAAGUGCCUGUUGCAAAUAGUUACAGGUAUUGACGGUACUGAACGAGGAAGCCACGGCUAACUACGUGCCAGCAGCCGCGGUAAUACGUAGGUGGCAAGCGUUGUCCGGAAUUAUUGGGCGUAAAGAGCAUGAAGGCGGGAAUCUAAGUCUGUUGUGAAAAUGCGGGGCUCAACCCCGUAUUGCGAUGGAAACUGGGUUUCUUGAGUGCAGGAGAGGAAAGGGGAAUUCCCAGUGUAGCGGUGAAAUGCGUAGAUAUUGGGAGGAACACCAGUGGCGAAGGCGCCUUUCUGGACUGUGUCUGACGCUGAGAUGCGAAAGCCAGGGUAGCGAACGGGAUUAGAUACCCUAGUAGUCC
This 450-nucleotide ribosomal RNA is filed under the name uncultured bacterium. RNAcentral describes it as "partial 16S ribosomal RNA". It matches the Rfam family "Bacterial small subunit ribosomal RNA", at positions 354 to 796 of the family's 1533-position model. The record is from RNAcentral.